This 450-nucleotide ribosomal RNA is filed under the name uncultured bacterium. Its description in RNAcentral is "bacterial SSU rRNA". It matches the Rfam family "Bacterial small subunit ribosomal RNA", at positions 184 to 650 of the family's 1533-position model. The record is from RNAcentral.
UAUGACAUCAUAGAGUGAGAAAAGAUUUAUCGGUAUGAGAGGAGCUCGCGUCUGAUUAGCUAGUUGGUGGGGUAACGGCCUACCAAGGCGACGAUCAGUAGCCGGCCUGGGAGGGUGAUCGGCCACAUUGGAACUGAGACACGGUCCAAACUCCUACGGGAGGCAGCAGUGGGGAAUAUUGCACAAUGGGGGAAACCCUGAUGCAGCAACGCCGCGUGAAGGAAGAAGUAUUUCGGUAUGUAAACUUCUAUCGACAGGGAAGAAACAAAUGACGGUACCUGAAUAAGAAGCACCGGCUAAAUACGUGCCAGCAGCCGCGGUAAUACGUAUGGUGCAAGCGUUAUCCGGAUUUACUGGGUGUAAAGGGUGAGUAGGCGGUCAUGCAAGUCAUAUGUGAAAUGUCAGGGCUUAACCUUGGCGCUGCAUAAGAAACUGUAUGACUAGAGUGCA